GAUGACGUUUAUGCUGACUGGACUUUUCUGAUGCUCAAUGAGUGAAGGAUGGCCUCUCUGCUUUGCAGUACCUACGCAUAGCGGUUCUGAACUCAGAAAUUUUAGAAAUGCUGCUGCCAUUGCAGCUCUUCAAGAUGAAGCUCAGCUCACCCUGAACAGCUACAUUCAUACUAGGUAUCCCACACAACCCUGUCGUUUUGGAAAGCUCUUGUUGCUUUUGCCAGCUUUACGUUCCAUUAGCCCUUCUACGAUAGAAGAAGUCUUUUUCAAAAAAACCAUCGGGAAUGUGCCAAUUACAAGACUGCUUUCAGAUAUGUAUAAAUCCAGUGACAUAUAGACAAACUUGGGGGAAGCAUAAAAGAAAAAAGGAUUGGGAUGGCCAUUCUGGAGGAACUUUUUAAUCAGCAGAGAACAAGCUUUAGCUCACCCAGCGUACAAGGAGCUGAAACUGGAAGCGUUUAACCUAUUGACAAUAUAAACCCAGUAAGGCACAAAUCUGUGAUUUUGGACAAAGCAACUUAAGACUUUGGAAGAAAUACUGUGCUCCACAAAUGGCCGUGGUCUGAACUUGGCAGCCGCUUCUCCUGUAGCAAUUUGGUGGAGCUAAUUCAGUUGUCAUUCAUAGUUAACAAAGGCUGUGCUAGUCUGCUGUUUAGCUGGCAGAUAUGAUGGGAUGAAGAAAGUACAUUAGGGUUUGUUUGUUUGUUUGUUUUCAUACUUUGAAAAAUUGGGUAACCAAACGUUGUUCUGUUGUAAUGUGUCAUGAGGUGGCCUUCAGAAAUGUAUUUUUUUUCUUUUAAUGUUGUUUGCUGAAUUCUUUUUAUAUGAGAGUUGACACUGAAUACCAGGUUAUCCAAAUAUUUACUUCAAUUGUAAAAUAUAAUAAGUGCCCUUGGAUUUUAAAAAAGUGGUUAUUUUGGCAAAUACAUUUUAGAUUCAAUAGGCCAAGUCUCCUUUUUUUUUUAAAAAAAAAAAGGUGGACUUAUGCCUAAGUCUUGCGAACAUUUCAAUUCCGUUUGACAUCUCAGACAGAAGAGCUUUAAAAAACAAUUUUUUAAAAAAAUGCACAUUAAAUGAAGACUGAACAGCAAAACCAAAUAAGAAGCAGACAGGAUUGAUAUAGUAGAACUGAUUGCUGUCCCACAGGCAUAGUGCUGAAACCAAAGGCAACGGUGGCCAAACUCUUUGUCAAUGAGAUGUAUAAGAAGGUACCUAACUUACAGUAAAAAGUCUGAAACACUCUAAGCAAGAUGGAAAGGAUGGUUGAUCAAUACAACCCUAAUGGUCUUUGAGAUUCUAGUGGCUUUUUAGAAAAUUCCAGAUUUCAAUAAAAGCCUUGCUCUCUUGAAUACCUUCCCGUCCACCCCACAAAAAUAUGUAUUAUAAGCUGCUUAAUUUGGUGAGAAUAUACUUAUGGAAAACUUAGGAAAAAUUAAAAAAUAACUACUGUACUUUUUAAGUUUUUAUUUUAGAAACUAGCACUGAAGAAGGAGAAAGCACUUGGAAGUAUCAUAGAAUGAGUAAAACUUCUCUUGUACAAAAGUGGAUUAACUGAUUUGUGAAGUUAAGGUUGUACUCAUUGUAUUUACAAAGAAUAAAAAAUAUAUUACAUUUAAAAUGCUAUGAGUUUUGAUUAACUAUUACUACCCACCAAUGCUGUCAGUGCCUAGCAAUGUAAGUCCUUCAAACAAAACAUAACAUGACCACUUACAGCUCUUUAAUCUCCUAAAAAGCAUGCUAAAAUGUGUGCACAAAUGGUUUUUCAAACCAGGAUUCUGCACUACAGUAACUUGCAACAACUCUUUUAUCCAAAGGAAAGGCCUUCCAUUUAGAAUCCAGCGAGACCUCCUUGUUCCCUCUCAAACUGGUGGACAAUCAGUUAAUCAAAUAAGAGAAACUUUGGAUAAAAAUUGGCUCUGAAUUAACUUUGCUGAUGUUCUGCCAGAAUCAACCUGAGUGAGAAUUUUAUCCCACCUGAUAAACCUGACUUCCUAAUGUUUCCUAUAUAUGCAGUUCAAUUCUCUCCCAGCUGCAAAUAUGGAAACCUUCUGUGUGCAGUAACCCAUUUUAUAGGAUAAAGAUGCAAGAAAUCCAAAGUGGUAGAAAUAGUGUUCCACACUUGCGUCCAAGGUUUUAAGGCUUCUAUUCUUGAACAUACUAGAGUAGUAUUUGUUGCAAGACCAGAGUAAGGAAAAAGGAGCAACCUCAUGAAAGAGCAUCUUAGGUACAUGUAAGAGUUCUCUGAAUCCUAGAGUCAGAGAAGAAAAUUCAGUGUGCCACUUUCCCACAAUUUCCAUCAGGAAGGCCAUUGCUCAGUAGCUUGCCAACUUUGAGCUCCAGAAGAUCCAGCUGAAACUCUGUCAAUCUCUUCAGUUCAAUGU
This is a non-coding RNA of Pogona vitticeps (central bearded dragon), 2381 nucleotides long. Lineage: Eukaryota; Metazoa; Chordata; Lepidosauria; Squamata; Agamidae. The record is from RefSeq and is a predicted model, not a curated record.